Brassica rapa (field mustard) is the source of this 5232-nucleotide long non-coding RNA. RefSeq lists it as uncharacterized. The record is from RefSeq and is a predicted model, not a curated record. Lineage: Eukaryota; Viridiplantae; Streptophyta; Magnoliopsida; Brassicales; Brassicaceae.
AACUACUCCCACAAAAAAAAAAGGUCAAUCUCAGUGAAAUAGAAAGAGGACAGACUAUAUGCAGCCAGAACUUGAUUCAUAUAAACAUGUGGAAAAGAAAGAGAGAAAAUAUUUGAUUAUAAGUAAAUAAACUAAGUGAGUAGUACCCCCUAAACAUUAUUUGAUAAGUUAUUUGUCACAUGUCUUCUCUAAAAUCAUUUUCAUUAAGAAAUAUGACAUGGUCACAAAAAUUGAUGACAUGUAUUAUGGCUAAAUAUGACAUGGACAAUUUUCUAGACAUUAUUUGGGAAGUGAUCUGCCACAUGUCUUCUCUAAAAUCAUUUUCAUAAAGAAAUAUGAAAUGGUUACAAAAAUUGAUGACAUGUCUUAUGGCUAAAUAUGACAUGGACAAUUUCCUAGACAUUAUUUGGGAAGUGAUCUACCACAUGUCUUCUCUAAAAUCAUUUUCAUAAAGAAAUAUGACAUGGCUACAAAAAUUGAUAACAUGCCUUAUGUAUAAAUAUGACAUGAAAAAAUUUCUAGACAUUAUUUGAGAAGUGAUCCGUCACAUGUCUUCUUUACAAUCAUUUUCUUUAAAACAAAUGUGACAUGGCUACUAAAAUUGAUGGCAUACCUUAUGAAUAAAUAUGACAUGGACAAUUACAUUAAUUGUUGAUGUAUAUUUUUUUGAUUAUUACCAAAUCAACAUGCUUUAGAAUUAUGUAUAAGUAGGGAAACCAGAGUUAAAUUCCUUUUUCAUAAAUAGAAAAAAAAUAAUAUCUUAACAAACAAAAUUCAUGAUUGAUAUUUUACAUCAGUGUGCUCUAAUGAUAUUAGAAUUUUACUAAUACUAGGUAAAUACCCGCGCUACGCCGCGUACUUUUUCUACAUUGAAGUUUUAUUAAAAUGAGUUUAGUUUAGUAAUUGUUAUUUGUUUAAAUUUAAUAUUAUUAAUAUUUUGUAAAAAGUUGUGAUUAGUUGAUAUAUAUAGAGUUUGGUUUUGAAUUUUAGUUUUUACUCAUUUUACUUUAAUAUUAAGGAUUUUUAUAUAUUUGUUAAUUUAUAGUUUUGUUGUGUAGGGGAUUUUUUGUAAUAUAUAUUUUUGUUUUGGGCAUGAUGUAAAAGUUUGUUUUAGUUUUGAUUUUUUCCUAUCAUAUUUUAUUUUGGAAAAUACUUUUGUUCACAUAAUCCAACUUUAGAAAUAAUAGUGUACUAAAAGGGAAGAAUGAACAAAAGUGGAUCACAUUUUACUGGACGUCUUUGGUUGUCCCAACAGUUUUAAGAGAAUUGAUGGUUUUCUUUGUUCUUGUUGCCUUGGUCCCCUAUUUUUAUGAAAUUCAAUUGUUAUUAGGUAAUAAUGAAGAGAAUGAUAUGUAUAUGUUUCUCUGUAUCGGAGAUUGCUGAAGAUUCUUUUGUAAACGACGUUCUUUGACUGUUGAUGUUGUUCUUUUUGCUGGGGCUUCACUCCAAAUGUUUUAUUUUUAUUUUUGAGGUGACUCGAGAUAAAGCAACUUAGAACUGUUUAUGAAUGAAAACAGGUCUUGGUAGAUAAAUUUUAACAUUUUUCAAGCUUUUGUUUAUUGUCAUACCAUAACAAAGUCUUAUUGGAAAUUGUCUUCUUUUCAUCUUGAGUCUGUUGUUGUCAUGUUGAUCUUUGUAUUAGAAUUUUCUUGUCAAAGAUUUUACCAACCAAAAUCUCUGCUUCCAGUACUCUUUCACCUAAACAAGUAAUCACCAGUUUUGUGCCGUUGCAUAAACCAUCUUACUAAUUUAUGUUUCUCAGAAGUAUGACCAUUACGUUUUCCUUUAAGUCAAGAAUGAUGAUUUGGUAGCUAAAGUGUUUAUAAAAAGCUACACUUUAAAGAAAAAGAAAUCAUUGUUACUGGUCAUUUAAUCAAAGCGUUGCUGGUUUAUGUUAGUUUAUGUUUUGGCGUCUGGCAGAUGUUAAUUUUUUUUCCGUUUUGCUAUGUCCGGCAAAAUUUAUAUAGGUUCUGAUUUUAUUUAUUAUUCAUGUUUACAUAAGAUUAUGCUUGUUUUAUUUUUCUUUUUUUCCUUUUUAAAUGUAGAGAUGUUAAUGAAGAACCAAAAGGAACACGAGAGCUACUGGAGCCAUGCAAACAAGAAGAUUCAUGGAGUUUAGCUUUUCUCUUCAAAACAAUUUUAAAUAUUUCUCAGCAACAGUCUUUAAAAUAUUCCAACUUUUGAAACAUAGAACUUUGACAAGACCAUCACGGUGACAGUGCAGCCAUGUCUGACCCUUCAGAAGAAUGCAAAAUCCCUUGAAGCACCGAUUUAAGAGCUCUCGCAGCUGUGGCUGCAAUGCACAUAAGGAAUCCAAACAGGUGAAACCUUAGCUCACCCUAGAGACAACAAGUCAUUAAGAAACAUCAAACAGACAAUUAAACACAGGGCCGGAUUUGGGGACAGCCGAAUAAAACAUUGGCCUCGACCUCCAAAAUUUUAAGAGGUUUUUUGCUUAGGUUUACGCCCCCAAAAAUUGACUCUGACCCCCCAAAUUUUUUAGAGUUCUUAAGAAAUGUUUCAAGCCCCCAAAUUCUCAGAUCCGGCCCUGAUUAAACACAAAUGUAUGAUAUCAUAGCUAACAAUGAAGAUCGAGAGGAAGCAAACACAACACAAAAAGAGAAAAUAUCUCCGGUAAUCAAAACUCUUGGAGCAACAUAAGAGUUCAUAUGGUGAACAGGAUGAAAAAACACAGCCGAACACAAAAUAAUGCCUUAACUUAACAAUGCGAAAUGUAAUUUUAGGAAUGUAUGAGCUUGUUCAUAAAACUACAUAUAUGUGAGAACAAAAUAAUAUACUCACUCCAGCAUUGGAUUGAAGCAAGAAGAUUAUAGCUCCCAUUUUAUCAAUCGACUACCUCGUUGAUCUUGACCACAGAUGGCAUCACCAGCUUUCUGACACACCACUUCUCUGUCAUGUGACUUUAUCACUCCUGCUGCUUGCUUCCUGUGGUCCAACGGAACCUUGAGGACUGACUCGUUCGUGGCACUUGUUGACUCCACUUGCAACAAAAUCACAUUUACACGUAAUAAGUUAGAAUUUGAACUCAAAAGUUCAGACUAAAACUCUUAAAAGACUUGUUUGGGUCUUUGACAUGAACCCAUGUGACCGUCUAGCUUGAUAAAGAAUUAUAGGAAAAAAAAACUCCCUAAAAUUCUGGUAUUAUAAAGUAAACAAUCACAGUCGACCAUUGAUACAACACAUUUGAGGAUACUUUUUCUUAUACCAUGUCCAAGAUACGCGUGAUGCAAGCUGUAAGUAAGAUAAAGAUGUAUAUAUAGCAAUAUCUAUGUAUCAUGUCUCUCUGAAAAUCAACAACCUUUUAAGAAAUUUACAUAGCUGUGGUUUCUAAACUUAAAGAAAUCAUGAGGGAAACAUACCUCAAAGAAACGAUGCCGAAGAAUGAAGAAUGAUGCCGAAGAAACGAAGCAUCUUCUUUGGUAACUCCACAUCAGAGGAAGCGUCAGCGGCUGAUUCGGUGACCAUACAACUUAGACGAGUGACUAAGUCGAUGAUUGAUCCCACCCCUAUUCGUCGCUCUAGCCAUAGCCCAGAUUCUUCUUCAGUAGGUUUCAGUAACUGCUCCUUGACAAAGCCGAGACUAUAAACGUUGAGCAGACGGGAUAUGAUCCGACGGCGGCUGUGGAUAGUGUUGAUUUCAAUUUGAUGGAGGAGGAGGAGUAUCAAAGUCCAGUUACCUAUGGUAACCAUCGUGUCUGAUGCCGUUAAGCGGAUUGGACUUUGGGUUAAGGCUCCGGUCAUGGACGCAGACCACCUUGACUUUUUUUCCCUUCGCCAUUGUUAUAUUUACUUGUCUAGAGAGGUUGGGGUUUAGAGAAAUUAAGGUUUUGGCGGAAUUGAUCACUGCUACUGCUUACUCUUUUUGAUUAGGACAAUGGGGGACUGACUUAAAGAUGAUCAUGAAGGUGGUUACGUAUCUUCUUUUUGUAGGGAAUUAAAGGUUAAGACAUCAAUCAUUAUAUGCUUUACAGAGCAGCCAGGUUGAUUGCCAUUCUCAGGGUCCAGACAAAUCAGCUGAAAUGGAGCUUUAAUGUGCUAAACAUCAACGAAGAGAAAUAUGUUCGACAUCAAGAAAAUGACGUGGAGAAACCAAAUGUUCUAACUGGUUUUCAAUGUUUUUUCAGUUAAUGACAUGUCGAUUUCUCAGUACUCUAAAAGUCUGAUCUGUCAACAACAGGAGAGACAUUUGCUUCAUUAUUGUGUUGAUUUGUAGCCAAAAUUAGAAGAAAUCUUGAGAGUUGGAGUCCAGAUGGAUUUUUCAUACUAUAAUUAGAGGUAAAUACAUUCCAGUGUAGACAGUUUUGUAUUUUCCGGGAGGUGGAGGCUUCUACAGAUUCAUCGCCGCCGGUCUAGUUUCCGGGGAGUGGAGGCUUCUUCAGCUCUGCGUUCGCCGGCUUCAGUUCUCGGGGGGUGAAGGCGGACUUUGCCUUGCCUCGUCGGCUUUUGGGUUCUCUAGGUUUUUAGGGUUUGGUUUUUAUAUUUGUCUGUUGCUGUUUCGAUAAUGUGUGGUUUGAGGAGCUCUCGUCGGAAGACGGUCGAAGCUAUUGGGUGUUGUAGGUUGAUGGGUCGGCGAAGCUUUAUUCCCAGCUCCGGUGAUGAAAAGAGGCGGAUGAGAUCUCGGUAUGCCGAUUGCAUCUCUCCACUACAGUGAGCUCGGAUUAUAAGCGUUUGCGGCUAAGAGAUUGUGAAGUUAGUGACUGAUGGUGUUUCCCGGUGGAUCGUCGUUUGGAUCAACGGCGAUGGCUGGAAGCGGUGGAGGCCGUGAUCGAAGCGGAGGCAUCGCUUCUGGUUUCUCUAGGGUUUCGCUUGGUGGGCUGUGGGCCUGAAUGUAUGUGUUUAGUGUUUUGUAAUGUUGGGCUUUGACCCUUAAUCUAAUUAACUAUUGACGGAAAAAAAAAAAGACAAUUUUGUAUUUUAUUUUAUUUUUUGACAAUAGACGGUUUUGUAUUUAUAAAGAAAAUAUAUAUCAAUUAUAUGAUGGAGCUAUGGAGCUAAAUAUCCAGUUAUUUUUUCAUUUCUUUUUGUUUAAAUUGAAUAUCGAGUUUAGUUUGAUUUAAGCAACAUCUGUCACGAGUGUGUAUAAAUAAUUACAUUAAUGUGUUGGCUUCUGUAUAUAUAAGCAUAAUGAUCUCCACAUACCUUGCAACCAAGUAACCGUAUUAAAAGUGUAAAGUGAAUUUGAGUAGAAUAUUAUUAAUCACUUUGUCCAUC